GCCUUCGUGGUAUAAUGGUCAGCACGCUCGACGUGUAUUCGAGAGGUCCGUGGUUCGAGUCCUGGAGAGGGCA
Molecule: transfer RNA, 73 nt
Filed under: Stegodyphus mimosarum
Lineage: Eukaryota; Metazoa; Arthropoda; Arachnida; Araneae; Eresidae
Rfam family: tRNA
About the family: Transfer RNA (tRNA) molecules are approximately 80 nucleotides in length. Their secondary structure includes four short double-helical elements and three loops (D, anti-codon, and T loops). Further hydrogen bonds mediate the characteristic L-shaped molecular structure. tRNAs have two regions of fundamental functional importance: the anti-codon, which is responsible for specific mRNA codon recognition, and the 3' end, to which the tRNAs corresponding amino acid is attached (by aminoacyl-tRNA synthetases). tRNAs cope with the degeneracy of the genetic code in two manners: having more than one tRNA (with a specific anti-codon) for a particular amino acid; and 'wobble' base-pairing, i.e. permitting non-standard base-pairing at the 3rd anti-codon position.
Source: Rfam by way of RNAcentral